Molecule: ribosomal RNA, 498 nt
Filed under: uncultured bacterium
Lineage: Bacteria
Description: partial 16S ribosomal RNA
Rfam family: Bacterial small subunit ribosomal RNA
Source: RNAcentral
ACUCAAAUGAAUUGACGGGGGCCCGCACAAGCAGCGGAGCAUGUGGUUUAAUUCGAAGCAACGCGAAGAACCUUACCAGGUCUUGACAUCGAGGCAAAGCCGCGGAAAUGCGGUGUUCAGCAAUGAAGCCGAAGACAGGUGGUGCAUGGUUGUCGUCAGCUCGUGUCGUGAGAUGUUGGGUUAAGUCCCGCAACGAGCGCAACCCUUAUUGUCAGUUACUAACGGGUAAAGCCGAGGACUCUGACGAGACUGCCGGGGACAACUCGGAGGAAGGUGGGGACGACGUCAAAUCAUCAUGCCCCUUAUGACCUGGGCUACACACGUGCUACAAUGGUGGUAACAAAGAGAUGCGAGCUCGUAAGGGUAAGCGAAUCUCAUAAAAGCCAUCUCAGUUCGGAUUGUGGGCUGCAACCCGCCCACAUGAAGUUGGAGUUGCUAGUAAUCGCGGAUCAGCAUGCCGCGGUGAAUACGUUCCCGGGCCUUGUACACACCGCCCGU